GAUGAACGCUGGCGGCGUGCCUAACACAUGCAAGUCGAACGGAGAUUACGGACGGAAGUUUUCGGAUGGACGACUGUAAUUCUUAGUGGCGGACGGGUUAGUAACGCGUGGGCAACCUGCCCUAUACAGGGGGAUAGCAGCUGGAAACGGCUGGUAAGACCGCAUAAGUUGGUUAAAUCGCAUGUUUUCAUCGGGAUAUGAGCAAUCAGGUAUAGGAUGGGCCCGCGUCCGAUUAGCCAGUUGGUAGGGUAAAAGCCUACCAAAGCGACGAUCGAUAGCCGGACUGAGAGGACGAACGGCUACAUUGGGACUGAGACACGGCCCAGACUCCUACGGGAGGCAGCAGUGGGGGAUAUUGCACAAUGGAGGAAAGUCUGAUGCAGCGAUGCCGCGUGAGUGAAGAAGUAUUUAGGUAUGUAAAGCUCUAUCAGCAGGGAAGAUGAUGACGGUACCUGGAUAAGAAGCCCCGGCUAACUACGUG
RNAcentral lists this ribosomal RNA (481 nucleotides) under uncultured bacterium. Its description in RNAcentral is "partial 16S ribosomal RNA". It matches the Rfam family "Bacterial small subunit ribosomal RNA", at positions 28 to 507 of the family's 1533-position model. The record is from RNAcentral.